Molecule: transfer RNA, 62 nt
Filed under: Cephalochlamys namaquensis
Lineage: Eukaryota; Metazoa; Platyhelminthes; Cestoda; Pseudophyllidea; Cephalochlamydidae
Description: tRNA-Asp
Source: RNAcentral
GUGAUCUUAGUUUAAUAGAAUAUCGAUUUGUCUCGUCGAAGGUAAUAGUUUAUUAGGUUACU